Molecule: ribosomal RNA, 509 nt
Filed under: uncultured bacterium
Lineage: Bacteria
Description: bacterial SSU rRNA
Rfam family: Bacterial small subunit ribosomal RNA
Source: RNAcentral
AUUGAACGCUGGCGGCAGGCCUAACACAUGCAAGUCGAGCGGCAGCACAAGGGAGUUUACUCCUGAGGUGGCGAGCGGCGGACGGGUGAGUAAUGCCUAGGGAUCUGCCCAGUCGAGGGGGAUAACAGUUGGAAACGACUGCUAAUACCGCAUACGCCCUACGGGGGAAAGGAGGGGACCUUUUGGCCUUCCGCGAUUGGAUGAACCUAGGCGGGAUUAGCUAGUUGGUGAGGUAAUGGCUCACCAAGGCGACGAUCCCUAGCUGGUCGGAGAGGAUUAUCAGCCACACUGGAACUGAGACACUGUCCAGACUCCUACGGGAGGCAGCAGUGGGGAAUAUUGCACAAUGGGGGAAACCCUGAUGCAGCCAUGCCGCGUGUGUGAAGAAGGCCUUCGGGUUGUAAAGCACUUUCAGCGAGGAGGAAAGGUUGGUAGCUAAUAAUUGCCAGCUGUGACGUUACUCGCAGAAGAAGCACCGGCUAACUCCGUGCCAGCCGCCGCGGUAAUAC